This 292-nucleotide ribosomal RNA is filed under the name uncultured bacterium. RNAcentral's name for it is "partial 16S ribosomal RNA". RNAcentral also lists the same sequence under 1 other name. The record is from RNAcentral.
GGACUACACGGGUAUCUAAUCCUGUUUGAUCCCCACGCUUUCGUGCCUCAGUGUCAAUGCAAGCUUAGUGAACUGCCUUCGCAAUCGGUGUUCUAUUACAUAUCUAAGCAUUUCACCGCUACAUGUAAUAUUCCAUCCACCUCAACUUGAUUCAAGUCCGUCAGUAUCAAUGGCAAUUCUGGAGUUGAGCUCCAGGCUUUCACCGCUGACUUAACAGACCACCUACGCACCCUUUAAACCCAGUGAAUCCGGAUAACGCUUGCACCCUCCGUAUUACCGCGGCUGCUGGCAC